GGAGGUAUAGCUCAGUGGUAGUGCACAUGCAUAGCAUGUGUGAGGUCCUGGGUUCAAUCCCCAGUACCUCCA
Molecule: transfer RNA, 72 nt
Filed under: Camelus bactrianus (Bactrian camel)
Lineage: Eukaryota; Metazoa; Chordata; Mammalia; Artiodactyla; Camelidae
Also listed under: 2 other names
Rfam family: tRNA
About the family: Transfer RNA (tRNA) molecules are approximately 80 nucleotides in length. Their secondary structure includes four short double-helical elements and three loops (D, anti-codon, and T loops).
Source: Rfam by way of RNAcentral